This 202-nucleotide unclassified non-coding RNA is filed under the name uncultured fungus. Its description in RNAcentral is "partial contains 18S rRNA, ITS1, 5.8S rRNA". The record is from RNAcentral. Lineage: Eukaryota; Fungi.
GGGGAGGGAUCAUUACAAGUGACCCCGGUCUAACCACCCCCAACUUCAUAACCCUGAAUGUCUAACUCUGUUGCCUCCGGGGGAACCCCCUCGGGGGCGGGGGCUCGGGGGUGGACACUUCAAACUGCCUGAGAGUGAUGCAGUCUGAGUAAAAAUAUUUAAUAAGUCAAAACUUUCAACAACGGAUCUCUUGGUUCCGGCA